Non-coding RNA from Phalacrocorax carbo (great cormorant), 2500 nucleotides. The record is from RefSeq and is a predicted model, not a curated record. Lineage: Eukaryota; Metazoa; Chordata; Aves; Suliformes; Phalacrocoracidae.
UAUCUGUUUGCAGAUACUAGAUCAUUCGUGUCCUACGUGCUGUCCAGGAGAGAGCCUGAACAAAACCAGGAGAAAUUGUAAGGACACUUGGACUCAUGUUAAUGAAGGAGAUCAGAAAGCAUGCAAACACUUUGGAGGGACACUAAAAAAAAAACUGCGGAGUGCUCAUACCAAGUUUAAAUAGGCACAUUUUAAAAUGUUGAGCAAUGAUUAUCAAUGAUUAUCACAAAGGGCUCCAAAACUCUUCUAACAAAAGAGAAAGUGUAGAUUUUAAUACAUUAAAGGUAAUGUAUGAAAAAUAGGUUUACUUUGGCUCAUUGUAAGACUACAAAAAAAGUUGAAGAUCUGAUGUGAUAAAGGCACAUGAAAAGACUGGUUUGUGGUUUUGUGUUACUCACAAGAGACAAGUUCAGCAUUUGGCUUCAGGAAGUUUCUGAGGGCUCCAUGAGGUGCUCAGCAUUUACACAACUGUGUCUGCAAACCACUAUAAAACUGAAGCCUAACUGUGACAUUUGACUUGGAGGAGAAGCUCAGCUCUCAGUGACUUGCAGUGUUUUGGGGGGACAAAGAGGGCAACACAUUCCUGUGUCAAUACUAGUGGCAGAGGGCAUGUAGCCUGGGACUGUCAUGUCUAGUGGCAGCUGAGAACUGAUUUGGCCUCCACACUUGUUUGCUUUCCUUAACUUGUGUGCUUUUUUUUUUUGUUAUUCACUGAUUGUACUCCUUUUCGUCCAACUAGAAUUGCCUUGCGCCCUAGAAGUAUUCCGCUUCCAAAGAUUUCAUACCACAGGACUAUUUCUUCCCUAAAAUACUCUGAGCUAUUACAAAAAGAUUUACUUUCAUUACAGUAAUCUUUACCAGGCUAAUUGAUAUUUGGUUGAGAAGUCAUUCUGAAUUGCUACGCUCAUGGUGGUGUCAUACCUUCCUGGCUUAAUGGUACUUCCAGGAGAUGCCAGGACCUCUGAAAGAGGCUUAUAAUGUUCAGAACUAUCUCACAGCCCGUAGGACUAUGGUAAAAUGAGUUACUCUCAUCCUUUCCCAGUGAAUUUUGGGAGAACUUGCCUUUCCUUCAGGGCAAGCACAUAUAUUCUGGGAAAACUUCAGAGGACUUGGAGCGUUUCAAUAGUUUAGCUUCUAUCCACAUUAUUCUAAGCAAAUAAUGGUCUUUCACUCAAGUUAGUAAAAUCUUUAAUUUCAGUUUAGAACUCAAAACGAGACUGAUAGAUGAGCUAAUCUGUGGUGCUUUCAACAUAGGCUUUCUAGCUUGAAAGCACCAAGAUCUUAGGGUUACUUUGUUUUUCAGUGAAGAAGAGGUAAGCUGGGGGCUAUAUCUGAACAACAUAAUGGCAGGGCAGACUCAGCUGUAGUAUCCAGCUGUGAAUCUGACACUGAUCUUUUGGUAGUCAUACCUUGUUGGGCCUAAUUCUGAGAUCAAUGUUUACAUCCUGUGUGGGAACAUAUUCCAGUCAUCUGUUAUUACCCACACCGUAUUGUAUAUAAUCCCUUUCAUUAAUAUAUUGCAGGUUUGUGGUUUUUUUGUGGGUUUUGGGGGUUGGUUCCCCCCCCCCCCCCCCCCCAGUUUUUCAUUGAAAAUCCAUUUCAGAACUUGCUUGCUUUUAAAUAUAAGAAGCUUCUUCUAAUUCCUGGACUGAAUGUAUACUUUCCUUUUUUAUUAUUAUUUUUACAUUUUCUCUUGUGUCAACUUUAGAUUUCAGCUUAAUUGAUUUGAGUUAGAGGUGAGAACACUUUCAGAGUCAGGCUGGUGCUUUUGGAAGAACUUAUAAAUCUGUAAUUCCAGUGCUCUUCUAGUUUUCUUCAAGGAGAAAGUACGUGUUUCCUCCUGCCCACUGAUUCUUUGAUACCAAGAGCUUUUUAUUUGCUUAAAGCAAUUCUUCAGUUUUGGGAGUUUGUUUUAAUUUGGCUUUUGUGACUUGAAAUAUCUGGUCUCUUGUAGUAGAUAUUAAAGAGAAAAACAGCAUACAGUACUCAGGAUCAACUUUGCUAGUGAUUGCUUACCCAGAGGAUAUAUAAUGAAGUGGCUUUACUGUGAAAAGAGUUAGAGAGAUGAUUUUUUACAGAUAAGAAAAUGGUAUCCUUCACUCAACAUUACCAUUGAAGCUGUAAUUUUUUGUGUGAUACAGUGAUAAGUGUUAGUGUGAACUUUGAUAUGUAUAUAUUUGCUUGGGUAUUGGGAUUUCCUUAGCUUCUCUUCUAGUGCUAAUGAGCAGACUGCACUAAAAAUAUUUUUCCUGAAGUUGCCCUAAUUUCAUGGGACAUCUGUGUUCUGGUAGGACUAAGCCUUUUGCUAAGGGAUUACUGUCAGAUUCUGAAGAGAUGAAUGGGAAAAGUUGUCCCUUCAUCUCCAAACAGCUAAAAAUUAAAUGUCCAAGUUUCCACUCCCAGGAGUCAAGCCUUUCUGCUGAGUUGAAUGAUAGCAAACCUUAGGGAUUUGAAGAAUAGUGUAAUUGUUCGUCCAAACACCAGAAAGUAAAUUCUGAGU